RNAcentral lists this ribosomal RNA (928 nucleotides) under Streptococcus pneumoniae. RNAcentral describes it as "partial 23S ribosomal RNA". It matches the Rfam family "Bacterial large subunit ribosomal RNA", at positions 1017 to 1826 of the family's 2925-position model. The record is from RNAcentral. Lineage: Bacteria; Bacillati; Bacillota; Bacilli; Lactobacillales; Streptococcaceae.
GGGAAACACCCCGGAUCGCCGGUUAAGGCCCCUAAGGGUGUACUAAGUGGAAAAGGAUGUGGGAUCGCGAAGACAGCCAGGAGGUUGGCUUAGAAGCAGCCAUCCUUGAAAGAGUGCGUAAUAGCUCACUGGUCGAGUGGUUCUGCGCCGACAAUGUAGUGGGGCUCAAGUACACCGCCGAAGCCGCGGCAAGCAACAUUUUUUUGUUGUUUGGGUAGGGGAGCGUCGUGCAUGGGUGGAAGCGUUACCGUGAGGAGGCGUGGACUGUGUGCGAGUGAGAAUGCAGGCAUGAGUAACGAAUUGUAAGGUGAGAAUCCUUACCGCCGGAUGACUAAGGGUUCCUGGGUCAAGUUCGUCUUCCCAGGGUGAGUCGGGACCUAAGGCGAGGCCGACAGGCGUAGUCGAUGGAUAACCAGUUGAUAUUCUGGUACCCGUACAUGUGCGCCCAUGAUAAAGCACGGAUACUAACCACUGCGGAUACGCUACCUUUGCACUUUUUUGAGUGUUGGUGGUGUUGAUGUCGUGGGGCCUGAUGUGUGGUUCAAGUGAUGGGGUGACGCAGUGAGGUAGCCGCGCCACUUAGUGGAUUGGUGGUGUAAGCGUGUAGGCCGUGUGGUAGGUAAAUCCGCCACACAUAGAGGUUGAGGCGUGAUGCGUAGACCCUAAGCGGGUUGAUGGUGGUGAUCCUGUACUGUCGAGAAAAGCCUCUAGCGAGUGUGUGUAUGGCCCGUACCCUAAACCGACACAGGUGGUCAGGUUGAAGAUACUAAGGCGUUCGGGUGAACUGUGGUUAAGGAAUUCGGCAAAAUGCCCCCGUAACUUCGGGAGAAGGAGGGCCCUGUGACGUGACGACCCUGUGCGGUUGGAGUGUUGUGGGGUCGCAGAGAAUAGAGGGAAGCGACUGUUUAUCAAAAACACAGGUCCAUGC